This 800-nucleotide ribosomal RNA is filed under the name Weissella sp. idli_22. RNAcentral describes it as "bacterial SSU rRNA". It matches the Rfam family "Bacterial small subunit ribosomal RNA", at positions 697 to 1501 of the family's 1533-position model. The record is from RNAcentral. Lineage: Bacteria; Bacillati; Bacillota; Bacilli; Lactobacillales; Lactobacillaceae.
ACGGUCGGAUGAUGUGCGGAAGCGGCUUUCUGGACUGUAACUGACGUUGAGGCUCGAAAGUGUGGGUAGCAAACAGGAUUAGAUACCCUGGUAGUCCACACCGUAAACGAUGAGUGCUAGGUGUUUGAGGGUUUCCGCCCUUAAUUGCCGCAGCUAACGCAUUAAGCACUCCGCCUGGGGAGUACGACCGCAAGGUUGAAACUCAAAGGAAUUGACGGGGACCCGCACAAGCGGGGGAGCAUGUGGUUUAAUUCAAAGCAACGCGAAAAACCUUACCAGGUCUUGACUUCCCUUGACAACUCCAAAGAUGGAGCGUUCCCUUCGGGGACAAGGUGACAGGUGGUGCAUGGUUGUCGUCAGCUCGUGUCGUGAGAUGUUGGGUUAAGUCCCGCAACGAGCGCAACCCUUAUUACUAGUUGCCAGCAUUCAGUUGGGCACUCUAGUGAGACUGCCGGUGACAAACCGGAGGAAGGUGGGGAUGACGUCAAAUCAUCAUGCCCCUUAUGACCUGGGCUACACACGUGCUACAAUGGCGUAUACAACGAGUUGCCAACCCGCGAGGGUGAGCUAAUCUCUUAAAGUACGUCUCAGUUCGGAUUGUAAGCUGCAACUCGCCUACAUGAAGUCGGAAUCGCUAGUAAUCGCGGAUCAGCACGCCGCGGUGAAUACGUUCCCGGGUCGUGUACACACCGCCCGUCACACCAUGAGAGUUUGUAACACCCAAAGCCGGUGGCGUAACCUUCGGGAGCCAGCCGUCUACUGUGGGACUGAUGAUUGGGGUGAAGUCUCAGGGGGAACCC